Long non-coding RNA from Asparagus officinalis (garden asparagus), 351 nucleotides. RefSeq lists it as uncharacterized. The transcript is spliced from 2 exons. NCBI's taxonomy places the organism in Eukaryota, Viridiplantae, Streptophyta, Magnoliopsida, Asparagales, Asparagaceae. The record is from RefSeq and is a predicted model, not a curated record.
AUAACAUUGAUGAAGCCACGGAUGAUUUAGUAGAUUCAUUUGAGGAAGAUGAAGUUCUCACUAUUGCGUGAAGUUUAAUCAAGGUUGGCAGAGCAAAUCACAUCACUAUUGGUGAGAAGGGGUUGAUGAAGGCAGAGCACCAAUGGGUUUAGUUUUGUAUCUUUGGUUAUGUAUUUGUGUGGUACCCCAAGUGAUUGAGACACUAUUGCUUAUUUUCAUCUUUUGGUGGUUCUGUUGCUGACUUUGUGAUGAAAGAUUGAGACACUAUUGCUUAUUUUCUCUGUAUUGAUCAAGGUUGGAUAGUGAAUGAUGUUCCAUUUUAUUGUUGCUUAUUUUCAUCUUUUGGUGGUU